GACGAACGCUGGCGGCGUGCUUAACACAUGCAAGUCGAACGGAAAGGCCCUGCUUUUGUGGGGUGCUCGAGUGGCGAACGGGUGAGUAACACGUGAGUAAACUGCACUUGACUUUGGGAUAACUUCAGGAAACUGGGGCUAAUACCGGAUAGGAGCUCCUGCUGCAUGGGGGGGGAUGGAAAGAUUCGGCGGUUGGGGAUGGACUAGCGGCUUAUCAGCUUGUUGGUGGGGUAGUGGCUUACCAAGGCUUUGACGGGUAGCCGGCCUGAGAGGGUGACUGGCCACAUUGGGACUGAGAUACGGCCCAGACUCCUACGGGCGGCAGCAGUGGGGAAUAUUGCACAAUGGGCGGAAGCCUGAUGCAGCAGCGCCGCGUGCGGGAUGACGUCCUUCGGGUUGUAAACCGCUUUCGCCUGUGACGAAGCGUGAGUGACGGUAAUGGGUAAAGAAGCACCGGCUAACUACGUG
RNAcentral lists this ribosomal RNA (468 nucleotides) under uncultured bacterium. RNAcentral's name for it is "partial 16S ribosomal RNA". It matches the Rfam family "Bacterial small subunit ribosomal RNA", at positions 28 to 507 of the family's 1533-position model. The record is from RNAcentral.